GCCCCAGUAACGGCGAGUGAAGCGGCAACAGCUCAAAUUUGAAAUCUGGCUCCUCUGGGGGUCCGAGUUGUAAUUUGUAGAGGAUGCUUCGGGCAAGGCCGCGGUCUAAUUUGCUUGGAACAGCGAGUCACAGAGGGUGAGAGUCCCGUCUAGGACCGCGCGCCGCGUCCGUGUGAAGCUCCUUCGACGAGUCGAGUUGUUUGGGAAUGCAGCUCUAAAUGGGUGGUAAAUUUCAUCUAAAGCUAAAUAUUGGCCAGAGACCGAUAGCGCACAAGUAGAGUGAUCGAAAGAUGAAAAGCACUUUGAAAAGAGAGUUAAACAGUAUGUGAAAUUGUUGAAAGGGAAGCGCUUGCAACCAGACUUGCGUGUGACGGUUCCCCCCACCAUCUGGUGGGGCUACUCCGUCAUCUCCAGGCCAGCAUCGGUUUGGGUGGUCGGCCAAAGAUCCCGGGAAUGUAUCUACCUCCGGGUCGACUUAUAGCCCGGGGUGCAAUGCGGCCCACCCGGACCGAGGAACGCGCUUCGGCCCGGAUGCUGGCGUAAUGGUUGCAAGCGGCCCGUCUUGAAACACGGACCAAGGAGUCUAACAUCUAUGCGAGUGUCUGGGUGUCAAACCCCUACGCGUAAUGAAAGUGAACGGAGGUAAGAACCCCGCCAGGGGCGCAUUAUCGACCGAUCCUGAUGUCUUCGGAUGGAUUUGAGUAAGAGCAUAGCUGUUGGGACCCGAAAGGUAUGUUGCUCUGUCUCUCCACUUUUUUUCUUUGAUUCGAUCCGAUCCAAACGCUAACUUAUGUUUUUCAACAGAUGGUGAACUAUGCCUGAAUAGGGUGAAGCCAGAGGAAACUCUGGUGGAGGCUCGCAGCGGUUCUGACGUGCAAAUCGAUCGUCAAAUUUGGGCAUAGGGGCGAAAGUGAGUUUUUUAUCCCUCGAGCGAGAAAAAUUGAACAGACCCACUAACCCGUGAUUUCUAGGACCAAUCGAACCAUCGUUUAUCUUUAAGCGUUGCCAGGUGGUUAAUUUUCCUGACUUUCAGUUGGGCCAGUCUGGUACUUGGUAUUGGGCGACGUCGUCAGUCUUCGGGGAUGUCCUCGCGGCUAUCCGAAGCCGUUCUUAUGUUGGGACGGUUCACAGACUAGACAGUGACGGCCGGGGCCUCUUGACCGGGGCCGGUGAUUAUAUAGUCGAGUAAAGUUAUUGGAUCUUGCGAGUAUUUAACCAGAAUACUCGCAAUUCCGUAGCUUUUGAACGCUGGUAGCUGGUUCCUGUCGAAGUUUCCCUCAGGAUAGCAGUAACGUUUUCAGUUUUAUGAGGUAAAGCGAAUGAUUAGAGGCCUUGGGGUUGAAACAACCUUAACCUAUUCUCAAACUUUAAAUAUGUAAGAAGUCCUUGUUACUUAAUUGAACGUGGACAUUUGAAUGUAUCGUUACUAGUGGGCCAUUUUUGGUAAGCAGAACUGGCGAUGCGGGAUGAACCGAACGUGAGGUUAAGGUGCCGGAAUGUACGCUCAUCAGACACCACAAAAGGUGUCAAUGCAUCCAGACAGCCGGACGGUGGCCAUGGAAGUCGGAAUCCGCUUAGGAGUGUGUAGCCCCUGUUGCACACCACCAAUUCAACGUGAAUUAGUUGGGGGUUAUGCCCCCAACGAUGGCUCUAUUCGACUGGAAAUCCCUUCCCGGGACGACCGGUCGUGGAUCUCUGAUCCAUCUACAGACUAGAGUGAGCCGACCGUCCACCUGCGGGUGACGGUUAAGAUAUAGUCGAUCGGGAUCCUCCCACCCAAGAGGAUCCUCGGACGAGAACAACUCACCGGCCGAAUGCAUUGGCCCUGAAAAUGGAUGGCGCUUAAGCGUGCUACCUAUACCUCGCCGUUGGGGUUGAAAUGAUGCCCCAACGAGUAGGCAGGCGUGGGGGUUCGUGACGAAGCCU
This 1926-nucleotide ribosomal RNA is filed under the name Thelidium decipiens. Its description in RNAcentral is "partial 28S large subunit ribosomal RNA". It matches the Rfam family "Eukaryotic large subunit ribosomal RNA", at positions 77 to 1411 of the family's 3401-position model. The record is from RNAcentral. Lineage: Eukaryota; Fungi; Ascomycota; Eurotiomycetes; Verrucariales; Verrucariaceae.